GUCCAGAGUUGUAAGCUGGAGAGGUGUCGUCCGACUCGGUCCAGGCUCAAUUUCCUUGGAACAGGAGGUCAUGGAGGGUGAGAACCCCGUACAUGGCUUGGGCGCCGCCGUCCUUGUGACGCAUCCUCUAAGAGUCGGGUUGUUUGGGAAUGCAGCUCAAAAUGGGUGGUAAAUUUCAUCUAAAGCUAAAUAUGGGCGAGAGACCGAUAGCAAACAAGUAGAGUGAUCGAAAGAUGAAAAGUACUUUGAAAAGAGAGUGAAACAGUACGUGAAAUUGUUGAAAGGGAAGCGUUUGGCAUCAGCCCAUGGCGGUGGUACGAACAUCCUUGCUUCGGCAUGGUGCACUCGUCCACCGUUGGGCCAGCGUCGGCUCUGCCUGCCAGAGAAAGGCCUUGGGGAAGUGGCUCUCCCUUCGGGGAGCGUGUUAUAACCCAUGGUGUCAUGUGGCUUUGGCGGGGCCGAGGUCCGCGGUUUUGUCCUAGGACGCUGGCGUAAUGGUUCCAAGCGACCCGUCUUGAAACACGGACCAA
This 530-nucleotide ribosomal RNA is filed under the name uncultured Archaeorhizomycetes. RNAcentral describes it as "eukaryotic LSU rRNA". It matches the Rfam family "Eukaryotic large subunit ribosomal RNA", at positions 135 to 669 of the family's 3401-position model. The record is from RNAcentral. Lineage: Eukaryota; Fungi; Ascomycota; Archaeorhizomycetes.